Aphelenchus avenae is the source of this 73-nucleotide non-coding RNA. The record is from the annotation of a GenBank genome assembly. NCBI's taxonomy places the organism in Eukaryota, Metazoa, Nematoda, Chromadorea, Rhabditida, Aphelenchidae.
GCCAUGAUAGCUCAGUUGGGAGAGCGUAUGACUGAAGAUCAUAAGGUCGCCGGUUCGAUCCCGGCUCGUGGCA